GAUGAAGAACGUAGCGAAAUGCGAUAAGUAAUGUGAAUUGCAGAAUUCAGUGAAUCAUCGAAUCUUUGAACGCACCUUGCACCCUUUGGCUAUUCCGAAGGGUAUGCCUGUUUGAGUAUCAUGAACACCUCAACUCUCAUGGUUUGCCAUGAUGAGCUUGGACUUUGGGGGUCUUGCUGGCCUGUGGUCAGCUCCUCCCAAAUGGAUUAGCUUGCCAGUGUUUGGUGGCAUCACAGGUGUGAUAACUAUCUACGCUUGUGGUUUUCCACCAGGUAACCUUCAGCAAUGGGGGUUCGCUGGGGCUCAUAAAUGUCUCUCCUCAGUGAGGACAGCUCUUUGAACGUUUGAUCUCAAAUCAGGUAGGACUACCCGCUGAACUUAAGCAUAUCAAUAAGCGGAGGA
Molecule: unclassified non-coding RNA, 402 nt
Filed under: soil metagenome
Description: partial contains 5.8S ribosomal RNA, internal transcribed spacer 2, and large subunit ribosomal RNA
Rfam family: 5.8S ribosomal RNA (bases 1-121)
Source: RNAcentral